Macaca mulatta (Rhesus monkey) is the source of this 974-nucleotide non-coding RNA. Lineage: Eukaryota; Metazoa; Chordata; Mammalia; Primates; Cercopithecidae. The record is from RefSeq and is a predicted model, not a curated record.
GGAGGUGGCUUGUUCAGGAAAGAGUUAACUCAACAGGUCUGGGAUAUUCAAAUCCCACACAUUUCAAAAUAAAGCUCUGUCCUCAUUGGCUAUUGGGAGAAAAUCUACGUCUUUGGACUAUUCUUCCAGAUUGGAGACUGAAAAGAAGAGAAGUUAAGGAACUUGUCUAAGAUCAUCAAGCAAAGAAUUUAAAACUUAAGUUUCAAUAUUUUCUUAGAAAACAAGAAAAGUUAGUGAUCUCAUUAUAGAAAUCUGUUGCCCAGGGAAGAGGAAAUGGUGCCAUUUUUUUUUUUUCAAGAUUUUCUAUUGGGCAUGAAAAUUGCACUAAUUUUCCAGGAUGUUGGAAGAAAUUACAAAAUCUUGAAAACGUAUUGUAUAUAAAACAGAUUUACUGUUGUUUUCAUAAGACUCUUCACAUUCUUCAGGACAAUCAGUUUACUUUAUGUAUUUUACAGUAAACAGUGAACAAGAGGAGAGACAUGAUUGUAUGUAUAUUCGUAUUACCAACAUUUAGUGCAGUGUUUUAUGUGUGUGUGUUAGAUUCUUAGAAAAAUUCUUGAGAAAAUAAAUCUUGUCCCUUCCUCAAUUUCUAGGCAGGAAUGAUUGGACUCUAGUACCUACAAGUAGAUAAAGUAAUCUGGACAGAGCAAUAUAAAAUAACCAUCUCUGCGGUAUGGCUGUCCCUUGAAUUAUCCUACACAAAGAAAUGCCAGAAUGGUAUUAAUCCAAAUGCUAGCUGGGAAAAACUAACACACUGCCUUCUAAAUCACAUCAGCAUAGAGGAGAUUAAUGACCAUUCUUUAAAGCCUAAAUCAAAAGAUUGCAGUAAAGGCAGUGCUUCCAUUCUGGUAUAAAUUUAAAAUAUUGCCAUCCCAUAGCACGGCAGUUCCUCGAGUUUUAGUGAAAAUUUAAUUCAACAAUUGAAGUAACAUUUGGUGCCUUCAGACACGAUAACACUUUUUUUGUUUGGUCAA